This 253-nucleotide ribosomal RNA is filed under the name uncultured bacterium. RNAcentral's name for it is "partial 16S ribosomal RNA". It matches the Rfam family "Bacterial small subunit ribosomal RNA", at positions 524 to 776 of the family's 1533-position model. The record is from RNAcentral.
UACGUAGGACGCAAGCGUUAUCCGGAUUUAUUGGGUUUAAAGGGUGCGUAGGCGGGUUAGUAAGUCAGUGGUGAAAGACUGUUGCUUAACAAUAGCAUUGCCAUUGAUACUGCUGAUCUUGAGUAUAGUUGAGGUAGGCGGAAUGUGUAGUGUAGCGGUGAAAUGCUUAGAUAUUACACAGAACACCGAUUGCGAAGGCAGCUUACUAAGCUAAAACUGACGCUGAGGCACGAAAGCGUGGGGAUCAAACAGG